UACGGGGGGGGCAAGCGUUGUUCGGAAUUACUGGGCGUAAAGGGCGCGUAGGCGGUUGGAUAAGUCAGCUGUGAAAACCACGGGCUUAACUCGUGGCCUGCAGUUGAGACUGUCUGGCUUGAGUGUGGGAGAGGAGAGUGGAAUUCCUGGUGUAGCGGUGAAAUGCGUAGAUAUCAGGAGGAACACCGGUGGCGAAGGCGGCUCUCUGGACCACAACUGACACUGAGACACGAAAGCGUGGGUAGCAAACAGG
RNAcentral lists this ribosomal RNA (253 nucleotides) under uncultured bacterium. RNAcentral's name for it is "partial 16S ribosomal RNA". It matches the Rfam family "Bacterial small subunit ribosomal RNA", at positions 524 to 776 of the family's 1533-position model. The record is from RNAcentral.